ACUCCUACGGGAGGCAGCAGUUAGAAUAUUCGGCAAUGGGAAGCCAUCGACCGAGCGACACUGCGUGAAGGAGGAAAGGGCCUUAGGGAGCUUUGGUUAAAACUUUCCUGAAACGAGAGACGAUAAUGACGGUAUCUCGGUAAUAGCACCGGCUAACUCCGUGCCAGCAGCCGCGGUAAUACGGAGGGUGCGAGCGUUAUCCGGAAUCACUGGGCGUAAAGGGCGCGUAGGCGGUUACAUAAGUCCGAUGUUAAAGCGUAGGGCUCAACCCUAUAAAGGCGUUGGAUACUGUGAAACUAGACUUCUGGAGAGGUAAGUGGAAUUACCANAGUAGCGGUGAAAUGCGUAGAUACUGGUAGGAACACCCAUAGCGAAGGCAGCUUACUGGACAGAGAGUGACGCUGAGGCGCGAAAGUGUGGGGAGCAAACCGGAUUAGAUACCCUGGUAGGAUAGCGU
RNAcentral lists this ribosomal RNA (457 nucleotides) under uncultured bacterium. RNAcentral describes it as "bacterial SSU rRNA". It matches the Rfam family "Bacterial small subunit ribosomal RNA", at positions 335 to 803 of the family's 1533-position model. The record is from RNAcentral.